ACUCAAAUGAAUUGACGGGGGCCCGCACAAGCGGUGGAACAUGUGGUUUAAUUCGACAUUACGCGAGGAACCUUACCUGGGCUUGACAUGUAUAUGACCGCACUAGAGAUAGUGCUUUUUGGGCUUCGGUCCAGACAUUUACACAGGUGCUGCAUGGCUGUCGUCAGCUCGUGUCGUGAGAUGUUGGGUUAAGUCCUUUAACGAGCGCAACCCUUGCCAUCAGUUGCUAUCUACGUAAGUAGAGCACUCUGAUGGGACUGCCUGGGAAACCAGGAGGAAGGUGGGGACGACGUCAAGUCAUCAUGGCCCUUAUGUCCAGGGCUACACACGUGUUACAAUGGCCAGUACAAAGGGUUGCUAGUCUGCAAAGACAUGCUAAUCUCAAAAAGCUGGUCUAAGUUCGGAUUGAGGUCUGCAACUCGACCUCAUGAAGCUGAAAUCGCUAGUAAUCGCAUAUCAGAACGAUGCGGUGAAUACGUUCUCGGGCCUUGUACACACCGCCCGU
Molecule: ribosomal RNA, 505 nt
Filed under: uncultured bacterium
Lineage: Bacteria
Description: partial 16S ribosomal RNA
Rfam family: Bacterial small subunit ribosomal RNA
Source: RNAcentral